This is a small nucleolar RNA of Cladophialophora psammophila CBS 110553, 92 nucleotides long. It matches the Rfam family "A. fumigatus snoRNA Afu_190". Lineage: Eukaryota; Fungi; Ascomycota; Eurotiomycetes; Chaetothyriales; Herpotrichiellaceae. The record is from Rfam.
UUAUGAUGAGAAUUCAGCUGGCACCAGUCUGAGAAGACUUGUACUCUUUACAUGCGGAUCAGCUUUAUAUGGCAUUGAGCCUACAAUCUGAA